This 429-nucleotide ribosomal RNA is filed under the name Chloroflexota bacterium. RNAcentral's name for it is "Chloroflexi bacterium partial 16S ribosomal RNA". It matches the Rfam family "Bacterial small subunit ribosomal RNA", at positions 355 to 776 of the family's 1533-position model. Lineage: Bacteria; Bacillati; Chloroflexota. The record is from RNAcentral.
UGGGGAAUAUUGCACAAUGGGCGCAAGCCUGAUGCAGCCAUGCCGCGUGUAUGAAGAAGGCCUUCGGGUUGUAAAGUACUUUCAGCGGGGAGGAAGGGAGUAAAGUUAAUACCUUUGCUCAUUGACGUUACCCGCAGAAGAAGCACCGGCUAACUCCGUGCCAGCAGCCGCGGUAAUACGAAGGGUGCAAGCGUUAAUCGGAAUUACUGGGCGUAAAGCGCACGCAGGCGGUUUGUUAAGUCAGAUGUGAAAUCCCCGGGCUCAACCUGGGAACUGCAUCUGAUACUGGCAAGCUUGAGUCUCGUAGAGGGGGGUAGAAUUCCAGGUGUAGCGGUGAAAUGCGUAGAGAUCUGGAGGAAUACCGGUGGCGAAGGCGGCCCCCUGGACGAAGACUGACGCUCAGGUGCGAAAGCGUGGGGAGCAAACAGG